Molecule: long non-coding RNA, 1039 nt
Filed under: Carica papaya (papaya)
Lineage: Eukaryota; Viridiplantae; Streptophyta; Magnoliopsida; Brassicales; Caricaceae
Description: long non-coding RNA (CPAP_LNC013603)
Source: RNAcentral
AGGUGUUUGUCCAAGUGUUCUGAAGAAAAUUUGCUGAGACAAUGGUCUUGAUAGGCGGCCAUAUCGGAAGGUAUGGUGUGCUUCAGUAAAGAGCUUGAAUGAUGGCUAAGAGAGAGUAGUCUUAUGCUUAUGGACCUUUUCAUUUGACUAAUCAACUUCUCCUGUUCUGGAUCAAGCUAAAUAUUUUCUUUCAAAGGUGUAUAAAGAAUAAUUCAAGUCAACAUGAAAUGCAAUUUUUUCCUUUAGUAGAAGUGUUGGAAGAUCCUUCAAUCUUCUGCCUUAACAUUAGGAAAUUAAUCCUCCUGAAAACAUGAAAUUUGAAAUCUGGUUAGAAAAUCUAAUUGAUAUGGAGAUUUGAUUUGCUGCAACUAAUUUCCUACUUUUCUAUUUAUAGCAGCUGUAUAUAUUAAUAUAGAUGCUGAUUCUCAGCAUAUAAGGAAUUUAGCUUUUCUCUAGACUUCUCAUAGUAUCAAAGCAUUAGGCUCUUUUAGCCUUCGUUGGCAUUUGUGCGCUUGUUUUUCUAUAACGGGAAAAAGAACCAAAAGAGUUAGCGACCUCAUUUCCUUGAAGCUGCUCUAACAUGUCUGCUCUCUCUAUAUGUAUCUCUGCAUGCCAAAGUCGACCUUGGUGGAUUAUCUCCUCUUGUCUUAUUAUUUUCUCUUGUGGCCCUCGUCAUCGCACUACUGGCACUGGCUGCAUUGUUGGCUCCCUUAUCGAGCUCAAAUUCUCUAUCUGCAACCUUAGUCAUCAAGAUCCUUGCCAAAACUCUCCGUCACCAUCCUUACAGGUGGAGACCUGGUGCCUCAUCCUAGAGAAGAUGUCAGGAAGAACAAAAUUAGAUGACAAUAUGAGGCAAAACUAGUAUGAUGAGACAAGAAAAUAAAACUAUAUCAAGUAGCAAAUCUAUUAUAUUGCUAUGUUCGACUCUCCCUUGUGUUGUUGGACUACGAUUACCUUCAAAGCAUGGGAAGUUACCAGUUCAUCUGUAGGCCUCCGGCAUCUAUCUGUAGUGUUCAAUAUAGGUACAGUCCUCAACAUC